RNAcentral lists this small RNA (196 nucleotides) under Coriobacteriaceae bacterium EMTCatB1. RNAcentral's name for it is "M-box riboswitch aptamer (ykoK leader)". It matches the Rfam family "M-box riboswitch aptamer (ykoK leader)". From Rfam's summary of the family: M-box riboswitch, also know as ykoK leader is described as a metaloregulatory RNA that sense divalent metals and function as a genetic control element of genes related to divalent metal transport in bacteria. The record is from Rfam by way of RNAcentral. Lineage: Bacteria; Bacillati; Actinomycetota; Coriobacteriia; Coriobacteriales; Coriobacteriaceae. RNAcentral also lists the same sequence under 1 other name.
GAUCCGUUCCGUUCGGUGCGGCUCCUGUCCGAACACAGGCCACUGCCCGGAAAUGUCGAGAGACGCCAAUGGGUAGAACAGCCCUCUCCGGCUUAAGGGGACGGCUAAGGUGGCUGGGGUGCGGGGCGCGACGCCCCGGGCGCGGCAGCGCUCCCUACGUCGGACAGUGCUCAAACCACAGACGAGGGAAUGGACG